AAGACCUUGCGCUUUUGGAGCGGCCGAUGCCUGAUUAGCUAGUUGGUGGGGUAAUGGCCUACCAAAGCUUCGAUCAGUAGCUGGUCUGAGAGGACGGCCAGCCACACUGGGACUGAGACACGGCCCAGACUCCUACGGGAGGCAGCAGUGGGGAAUUUUGGACAAUGGGCGCAAGCCUGAUCCAGCCAUGCCGCGUGAGUGAAGAAGGCCUUCGGGUUGUAAAGCUCUUUCAGCCGGGAAGAAAAGGUUGCGAUUAAUAAUCGCAAUUUAUGACGGUACCGGAAGAAGAAGCACCGGCUAACUACGUGCCAGCAGCCGCGGUAAUACGUGGGGUGCGAGCGUUAAUCGGAAUUACUGGGCGUAAAGGGUGCGCAGGCGGUUUUGUAAGUCAGAUGUGAAAUCCCCGGGCUUAACCUGGGAACU
RNAcentral lists this ribosomal RNA (423 nucleotides) under uncultured bacterium. Its description in RNAcentral is "bacterial SSU rRNA". It matches the Rfam family "Bacterial small subunit ribosomal RNA", at positions 207 to 622 of the family's 1533-position model. The record is from RNAcentral.